CCUACGGGUGGCAGCAGUGGGGAAUCUUCCGCAAUGGGCGAAAGCCUGACGGAGCGACGCCGCGUGGGUGACGAAGGCCUUCGGGUCGCAAAGCCCUGUCAGGGGUGACGAUAAUGACGGUAGCCCCAAAGGAAGCCCCGGCUAACUACGUGCCAGCAGCCGCGGUAACACGUAGGGGGCGAGCGUUGUCCGGAAUUACUGGGCGUAAAGGGCGUGUAGGCGGUUUACCAAGUCAGGCGUGAAAUUUUGAGGCUCAACUUCAAGACUGCGUCUGAAACUGGUGAACUUGAGGGCAGGAGAGGAGAGCGGAAUUCCCAGUGUAGCGGUGAAAUGCGUAGAUAUUGGGAGGAACACCAGUGGCGAAGGCGGCUCUCUGGACUGUACCUGACGCUGAGGCGCGAAAGCGUGGGGAGCAAACAGGAUUAGAUACCCGGGUAGUC
This 440-nucleotide ribosomal RNA is filed under the name uncultured Clostridia bacterium. Its description in RNAcentral is "bacterial SSU rRNA". It matches the Rfam family "Bacterial small subunit ribosomal RNA", at positions 338 to 795 of the family's 1533-position model. The record is from RNAcentral. Lineage: Bacteria; Bacillati; Bacillota; Clostridia.